Molecule: ribosomal RNA, 492 nt
Filed under: uncultured bacterium
Lineage: Bacteria
Description: partial 16S ribosomal RNA
Rfam family: Bacterial small subunit ribosomal RNA
Source: RNAcentral
AGUGAACGCUGGCGGUAGGCCUAACACAUGCAAGUCGAACGGCAGCACAGUAAGAGCUUGCUCUUACGGGUGGCGAGUGGCGGACGGGUGAGGAAUACAUCGGAAUCUACUUUUUCGUGGGGGAUAACGUAGUGAAACUUACGCUAAUACCGCAUACGACCUACGGGUGAAAGCAGGGGAUCUUCGGACCUUGCGCGAUUGAAUGAGCCGAUGUCGGAUUAGCUAGUUGGCGGGGUAAAGGCCCACCAAGGCGACGAUCCGUAGCUGGUCUGAGAGGAGGAUCAGCCACACUGGAACUGAGACACGGUCCAGACUCCUACGGGAGGCAGCAGUGGGGAAUAUUGGACAAUGGGAGCAAGCCUGAUCCAGCCAUACCGCGUGAGUGAAGAAGGCCUUCGGGUUGUAAAGCCCUUUUGUUGGGAAAGAAAAGCAGCAGGUUAAUACCCCGCUGUUCUGACGGUACCCAAAGAAUAAGCACCGGCUAACUUCGUG